Molecule: long non-coding RNA, 273 nt
Organism: Mauremys mutica (yellowpond turtle)
Lineage: Eukaryota; Metazoa; Chordata; Testudines; Geoemydidae
Exons: 3
Source: RefSeq, a predicted model, not a curated record
AACUUUGGUGAACCAAGUGCUUUUCAAAACAGGAAAGGCCUGACAGUGUUGUAAGUUGAAGUCACUCCACUGAAAUCAACAGAAUAACACCAAAGCAGCUGAAGAGUGAUGGUUCUGCCUUGGUUGGGAGUGACUAUAGACUGAAAACUGAUGAGGCUGGGGCUCUUGAUACCCACCUCCAAGCAAUGACUUCAGGAUAGCCCUAUCAAAAUGGGCAUCCUAUGUGGAAGACUUUACCAAAAGAACAGUAACUUGAAAGUCUGUGGACCAAAC